GCUGGCGGCGUGCUUAACACAUGCAAGUCGUACGAGAACUCUUCUGCUUGCAGAAGAUAGUAAAGUGGCGCACGGGUGAGUAACGCGUGGGUAAUCUACCUCCGAAUCGGGGAUAACCCGCCGAAAGGCGAGCUAAUACCGGAUAAUAUCUUUAAAACUUAGGUUUUAAAGAUCAAAGGUGGUCUCUACAUGUAAGCUACUGUUUGGAGAUGAGCCCGCGUACCAUUAGCUUGUUGGUAGGGUAAUGGCCUACCAAGGCCGCGAUGGUUAGCUGGUCUGAGAGGAUGAUCAGCCACACUGGAACUGACACACGGUCCAGACUCCUACGGGAGGCAGCAGUGAGGAAUUUUGCGCAAUGGGGGAAACCCUGACGCAGCAACGCCGCGUGAGUGAUGAAGGCUUUCGGGUCGUAAAGCUCUGUCAAGUGGGAAGAACCUGCUAGAUACUAAUACCAUCUAGCACUGACGGUACCACUAAAGGAGGCACCGGCUAACUCCGUGCCAGCAGCCGCGGUAAUACGGGGGGUGCAAGCGUUAUUCGGAAUUAUUGGGCGUAAAGGGCGCGUA
Molecule: ribosomal RNA, 566 nt
Filed under: uncultured delta proteobacterium
Lineage: Bacteria; Deltaproteobacteria
Description: bacterial SSU rRNA
Rfam family: Bacterial small subunit ribosomal RNA
Source: RNAcentral